RNAcentral lists this ribosomal RNA (208 nucleotides) under uncultured Mesotoga sp. RNAcentral describes it as "partial 16S ribosomal RNA". It matches the Rfam family "Bacterial small subunit ribosomal RNA", at positions 568 to 775 of the family's 1533-position model. Lineage: Bacteria; Thermotogati; Thermotogota; Thermotogae; Kosmotogales; Kosmotogaceae. The record is from RNAcentral.
AGCGUAGGUGGCCUAACAUGUCAACUGUGAAAACCCGGAGCUCAACUCCGGACCUGCAGUUGAAACUGGUAGGCUUGAGGGCGGUAGAGGAAGACGGAACUGCCAGUGUAGGGGUAAAAUCCUUAGAUAUUGGCAGGAACGCCGGUGACGAAGGUGGUUUUCUGGGCCGGUUCUGACACUGAUGCUCGAAAGCCAGGGGAGCGAACGG